AUCCAGCUGACGAGUCCCAAAUAGGGCGAAACGCAUGUUCUGAAU
Molecule: non-coding RNA, 45 nt
Filed under: Schistosoma curassoni
Lineage: Eukaryota; Metazoa; Platyhelminthes; Trematoda; Strigeidida; Schistosomatidae
Source: RNAcentral